UUACAGCAUCACACGAUAAACCCAGUUCAAGUUUUAAAUAUUGUCUGGAAACAUGUUUGACAGCUACUUAAAGAAUUCAGCACAUUGCUAGAGGUUAUCUGCAUUUCUAUUGCUAGAGCUGUUUAAGGAGCAAUUAAUCAGGGUUUUUUUUUUCUGUUUGUGUGCUGCUAAACACCCAUCAUAAUAUGUAGUUGCAUUUUCAAGAUCAAGAUUAGAACUAUUCAAGGAUACCCUAUUUAUCUUUCUGUCCUUGGAGACAAAGUUAUCAAAAGUUAUGGAUGUCUGUGAAUUAUCAAAAGAAAAAUGCCUGUAAUGAAAGUUACAGAAAAGACACGUAAUGAGUAAGGAAAAGUAAUCUAAAUUCAAGAGAAUGAAACUGCAUUCCAUAAUGAAAGAUGCUGUCAUAUUAUAGGACAAUUCCUUAAGUCAUCUAAUGUCAAUAUAUUCUCAUUGCAACAGAGUGAUCUGAAUUUGUGCAGAAGUGGAAAAUACUGAAGAACUGCGCAACUGUGGUGAUUCAUCAUGUUGCUUUUUAGAUGAAGACAUACUUCAGAGCUUUGAGUAGAACUGAUGGUUCUCUGUGCAUCUUUCAUUGGCAUGGAACACUUGUCCAAAGAUUUCAGUGAAAGAUACAACACUGAGGAAAAAGAAAGCUUUUUCGUCAGGGAACAUUAAGGGAGACUGAGACUGAAGCUCUUUGGAAGCUCCAAAGUUGAGCUGGCUAUUGUUGACAUUGAAGAAGAGCAGCUUUUUUGAGAGCUGCUGUAAUACUUUUAGGACACUGAAAAAACAAGACAACCACAACGAAGGAAGUUUGUUUUCCAAGGAGGAGAGAGGCAUUGGCCUAAAGCCUAAGGAUACCAUCCUUGGAGACAAAGACAAGAAGUGAAUCUGGAGUUGACAUUAAGCUAAUUAUACUCAAGGCUGCAUCUAACUCACAACCCACUUCACGUGUACUGGAGAUUGCUGGUGGGGACUGGAAAGUAAGAAGGGUUUUUUAUUGAAAAUCUUAAGACAAAGAGGUGGAGACAGAAUGCAAGGAACACUAUGUUGGAAGCGUAUGACAUGGGCACACAUGUAUCAAGUAACUGUUUAACAUUAGUCUGUAACUCCUAGGGACAGGCUGGUGAGACCCAGUGCAGUGCUACAGAAGUCAGUAUAGCAAUGACCAGUUGCAUAAACUAAAGAUAUAUUGUCUCAAAGGAAAAAGGCAGAGGUUGUGGCACGUGCAGAGGUUUGAUCCUCUCCCAUACCCAGGAAAUCAAGCCCGUUUUGCCCUCUUUUUACACUGGACAGAGUCAAAAAGAAGUUUAAUGGAAGCUGAAACAUAAGACGGUAUCACUAGUACUUCCUAUGGUAUGUAAAGAGCCCUUCAACUAACAACAAAGCCAGGAAUUUUCUGAGACUACAAAUUUUCAGUUAGUAGAUGCCCUUUUUGUCCUUUUUCUAUAGACUGUAGGUGCAACAGAGGUUGCAUUUCUGCUUCUACUUGCUAUAGCACUAUGUUUAGCACCUGACAUGAAGAGGCAGUGAGCACCACCUGAAACACAGGAGGGUCUAUCUGAUCACAAACGCUUUUUUCACUUUGAGAAUGACUGAGCACUGGCACAGAUUGCCUGAGAAGUUGUGGAGUCUCCUUCCGCAAGUGUCUUGACUGACACUUUCUUCCAUCAGCCCUGCAUUUCCUCUUGUUGUGGUGCAUCAGGUGCACUUGACUUGGAGGGCUGCUUCACACAGUUGAAUUCCUCAUGCUUUUUGCAUGCACUUGA
This is a long non-coding RNA of Pezoporus flaviventris, 1769 nucleotides long. RefSeq lists it as uncharacterized. The record is from RefSeq and is a predicted model, not a curated record. The transcript has 4 exons. Lineage: Eukaryota; Metazoa; Chordata; Aves; Psittaciformes; Psittacidae.